Molecule: ribosomal RNA, 946 nt
Filed under: Pseudarthrobacter sp.
Lineage: Bacteria; Bacillati; Actinomycetota; Actinomycetes; Micrococcales; Micrococcaceae
Description: bacterial SSU rRNA
Rfam family: Bacterial small subunit ribosomal RNA
Source: RNAcentral
AGCUCGUAGGCCGGUUUGUCGCGUCUGCCGUGAAAGUCCCGGGGCUCAACUCCGGAUCUGCGGUGGGUACGGGCAGACUAGAGUGAUGUAGGGGAGACUGGAAUUCCUGGUGUAGCGGUGAAAUGCGCAGAUAUCAGGAGGAACACCGAUGGCGAAGGCAGGUCUCUGGGCAUUAACUGACGCUGAGGAGCGAAAGCAUGGGGAGCGAACAGGAUUAGAUACCCUGGUAGUCCAUGCCGUAAACGUUGGGCACUAGGUGUGGGGGACAUUCCACGUUUUCCGCGCCGUAGCUAACGCAUUAAGUGCCCCGCCUGGGGAGUACGGCCGCAAGGCUAAAACUCAAAGGAAUUGACGGGGGCCCGCACAAGCGGCGGAGCAUGCGGAUUAAUUCGAUGCAACGCGAAGAACCUUACCAAGGCUUGACAUGAACCGGUAAUACCUGGAGACAGGUGCCCCGCUUGCGGUCGGUUUACAGGUGGUGCAUGGUUGUCGUCAGCUCGUGUCGUGAGAUGUUGGGUUAAGUCCCGCAACGAGCGCAACCCUCGUUCUAUGUUGCCAGCACGUGAUGGUGGGGACUCAUAGGAGACUGCCGGGGUCAACUCGGAGGAAGGUGGGGACGACGUCAAAUCAUCAUGCCCCUUAUGUCUUGGGCUUCACGCAUGCUACAAUGGCCGGUACAAAGGGUUGCGAUACUGUGAGGUGGAGCUAAUCCCAAAAAGCCGGUCUCAGUUCGGAUUGGGGUCUGCAACUCGACCCCAUGAAGUCGGAGUCGCUAGUAAUCGCAGAUCAGCAACGCUGCGGUGAAUACGUUCCCGGGCCUUGUACACACCGCCCGUCAAGUCACGAAAGUUGGUAACACCCGAAGCCGGUGGCCUAACCCCUUGUGGGAGGGAGCUGUCGAAGGUGGGACUGGCGAUUGGACUAAGUCGAAUCAAGAGCGCCCCGG